CGUUAGCGGCGGACGGGUGAGUAACACUGGGUAACCUACCUAUAAGACUGGGACAACUUCGGGAAACCGGAGCUAAUACCGGAUAAGAUAUCGAACCGCAUGGUUCGAUAGUGAAAGANGGUUUUGCUAUCACUUAUAGAUGGACCCGCGCCGUAUUAGCUAGUUGGUGAGGUAACGGCUCACCAAGGCAACGAUACGUAGCCGACCUGAGAGGGUGAUCGGCCACACUGGAACUGAGACACGGUCCAGACUCCGUACGGGAGGCAGCAGGU
Molecule: ribosomal RNA, 272 nt
Filed under: uncultured Staphylococcus sp.
Lineage: Bacteria; Bacillati; Bacillota; Bacilli; Caryophanales; Staphylococcaceae
Description: partial 16S ribosomal RNA
Rfam family: Bacterial small subunit ribosomal RNA
Source: RNAcentral